AUGGUGCAAGCGUUCUCCGGAUUUACUGGGUGUAAAGGGAGCGCAGGCGGUACGGCAAGUCUGCUGUGAAAGCCCGGGGCUCAACCCCGGUACUGCAUUGGAAACUGUCGGACUAGAGUGUCGGAGGGGUAAGUGGAAUUCCUAGUGUAGCGGUGAAAUGCGUAGAUAUUAGGAGGAACACCAGUGGCGAAGGCGGCUUACUGGACGAUGACUGACGCUGAGGCUCGAAAGCGUGGGGAGCAAA
RNAcentral lists this ribosomal RNA (244 nucleotides) under uncultured bacterium. Its description in RNAcentral is "partial 16S ribosomal RNA". It matches the Rfam family "Bacterial small subunit ribosomal RNA", at positions 529 to 772 of the family's 1533-position model. The record is from RNAcentral.